AAUAGUCAUGGUAAGCAGAAUAGUGAAACUUCUAGACGAGUGGUUUGACAUUUCUUGUUAUCACAUUGGUAAUUGUAUUUAAUUAUAGUGUUUUCAUUCGGUGCUAAUUGCUAAAGCAAGGUAAACUAUAUAUUAACUCAAUUUGUAUAUUACACUUGCUACAUUUGUCAUCUGAAGGAUUAGCCAAACCAAAAUAAUCUCAUUUGUAUAUUACACUUGCUACAUUU
RNAcentral lists this long non-coding RNA (227 nucleotides) under Setaria italica (foxtail millet). RNAcentral's name for it is "long non-coding RNA (SITA_LNC001314)". The record is from RNAcentral. Lineage: Eukaryota; Viridiplantae; Streptophyta; Magnoliopsida; Poales; Poaceae.